This 73-nucleotide transfer RNA is filed under the name Acropyga kinomurai. RNAcentral describes it as "tRNA-Gln". Lineage: Eukaryota; Metazoa; Arthropoda; Insecta; Hymenoptera; Formicidae. The record is from RNAcentral.
UAUAUUUUAAUGUAAAAGGAGAGCAUAUAAAUUUUUGAAAUUUAUUGAAUUAGUUUGAGUCUAUUAAAUAUAU